RNAcentral lists this ribosomal RNA (1104 nucleotides) under uncultured organism. Its description in RNAcentral is "bacterial SSU rRNA". It matches the Rfam family "Bacterial small subunit ribosomal RNA", at positions 311 to 1436 of the family's 1533-position model. The record is from RNAcentral.
CAAUGGAACUGAGAAACGGUCCAUACUCCUACGGGAGGCAGCAGUGAGGAAUAUUGCACAAAUGGGGGAAACCCUGAUGCAGCAACGCCGCGUGAAACGAUGAAGGCCUUCGAGUUGUAAAAGUUCUUUUAUGGGGGACGAUAGUUGACGGUACCUCAGGAAUAAGUCCCGGCUUAACUACGUGCCAGCAGCCGCGGUAAAACGUAGGGAGCGAGCGUUAUCCGGAUUUAUAGGGCGUAAAGCGCAAGUAGGCAGCGUUGUAAGUUGGACGUGAAAGCUCCCGGCUCAACUGGGAGAGGUCGGUUCAAAACUACAAGUGCUCGAGGUUUGGAAGAGGAGAGUAGAAUUCCUGGUGUACUGGUGGAAUGCGUAGAUAUCGGGAGGAAUACCAGUGGCGAAAGCGACUCUCUGGUCCACACCUGACGCUGAGGUUCGAAAGCGUGGGUAGCGAACGGGAUUAGAUACCCCGGUAGUCCACGCCGUAAACGAUGGAUACUAGGUGUAGGGGGUCACUGAAUCCCUCUGUGCCGUAGCAAACGCGUUAAGUAUCCCGCCUGGGGACUACGGCCGCAAGGUUAAAACUCAAAGGAAUUGACGGGGGCCCGCACAAGCAGCGGAGCGUGUGGUUUAAUUCGAUGAUACGCGAAGAACCUUGCCUGGGCUGAACUACGUGGUAGUAGAGAAGCGAAAGCGGAUCGACCCUUCGGGGAGCCUCGAUAGGUGCUGCAUGGCUGUCGUCAGCUCGUGUCGUGAGAUGUUGGGUUAAGUCCCGCAACGAGCGCAACCCUUGUCGUUAGUUAUACGUGUCUAGCGAGACUGCCGGUAUCAAACCGGAGGAAGGUGGGGAUGACGUCAGGUCAGCAUGGUCUUUAUGUCCAGGGCUACACACACGCUACAAUGGCCGGUACAACAGGUUGCUAUACCGCGAGGUGGAGCUAAUCCCUAAAGCCGGUCUCAGUUCGGAUUGCAGUCUGCAACUCGACUGCAUGAAGGUGGAGUUGCUAGUAACCGCGCGUCAGCAAUAGUGCGGUGAAUGCGUUCCCGGGCCUUGUACACACCGCCCGUCACAUCAUGGAAGUCGGUAACACCUGAAGUCGGUGACCU